CCCUUAGAUGUUCUGGGCCGCACGCGCGCUACACUGAUGCGUCCACCAAGUUUACCACCUUGACCGACAGGUCUGGGUAAUCUUAUAAAGCGUAUCGUGAUGGGGAUAGACUAUUGCAAUUAUUAGUCUUCAACGAGGAAUUCCUAGUAAGCGUGAUUCAUCAGAUCGCGUUGAUUACGUCCCUGCCCUUUGUACACACCGCCCGUCGCUCCUACCGAUUGGAUGGUCCGGUGAAAUCUUCGGACCGGCGCAACGCAGCAGGGCAACCUGCAGUGAUGUGCUGGGAAGUCGCUUAAACCUUAUCAUCUAGAGGAAGGAGAAGUCGUAACA
Molecule: ribosomal RNA, 330 nt
Filed under: uncultured eukaryote
Lineage: Eukaryota
Description: partial 18S ribosomal RNA
Rfam family: Eukaryotic small subunit ribosomal RNA
Source: RNAcentral